RNAcentral lists this ribosomal RNA (253 nucleotides) under uncultured bacterium. RNAcentral's name for it is "partial 16S ribosomal RNA". It matches the Rfam family "Bacterial small subunit ribosomal RNA", at positions 524 to 776 of the family's 1533-position model. The record is from RNAcentral.
UACGGAGGGGGCAAGCGUUAUUCGGAAUUAUUGGGCGUAAAGGGCGCGUAGGCGGCUAGAUGUGUCAAAGGUGAAAUCCCUCGGCUCAACUGAGGAACUGCCUUUGAAACUGUCUGGCUUGAGGCCGGGAGAGGGUAGCGGAAUUCCCAGUGUAGCGGUGAAAUUCGUAGAUAUUGGGAGGAACACCGGUGGCGAAGGCGACCACCUGGACAGAGAUUGACGCUGAGGCGCGAGAGCGUGGGGAGCAAACAGG